This 458-nucleotide ribosomal RNA is filed under the name uncultured bacterium. Its description in RNAcentral is "partial 16S ribosomal RNA". It matches the Rfam family "Bacterial small subunit ribosomal RNA", at positions 338 to 795 of the family's 1533-position model. The record is from RNAcentral.
CCUACGGGAGGCAGCAGUGAGGAAUAUUGGUCAAUGGUCGGGAGACUGAACCAGCCAAGCCGCGUGAGGGAGGAAGGUACAGAGUAUCGUAAACCUCUUUUGUCAGGGAACAAAGGCGGGGACGUGUCCCCGGAUGAGUGUACCUGAAGAAAAAGCAUCGGCUAACUCCGUGCCAGCAGCCGCGGUAUACGGGGGAUGCGAGCGUUAUCCGGAUUUAUUGGGUUUAAGGGGGGCGAGGGCGGUCUGUUAAGUCAGCGGUAAAAGCCCGGGGCACAACCCCGACCCGCCGUUGAAACUGGCAGUCUCGAGUUGGAGAGAAGUAUGCGGAAUGCGCGGUGUAGCGGUGAAAUGCAUAGAUAUCGCGCAGAACUCCGAUUGCGAAGGCAGCAUGCCGGCUCCACACUGACGCUGAGGCACGAAAGCGUGGGUAUCGAACAGGAUUAGAUACCCUUGUAGUC